This 68-nucleotide small nucleolar RNA is filed under the name Vicugna pacos (alpaca). Its description in RNAcentral is "Small nucleolar RNA SNORD112 (ENSVPAG00000017799.1)". The record is from RNAcentral. Lineage: Eukaryota; Metazoa; Chordata; Mammalia; Artiodactyla; Camelidae.
GGAACCAAUGAGGAUUGUGUCAUGAACCAAGAAUUACAAUUAACUGAGUUCUGUGCACCUGAAGCAUA